This 423-nucleotide ribosomal RNA is filed under the name Rhinella marina group sp. ABGD cluster 38. RNAcentral's name for it is "partial large subunit ribosomal RNA". It matches the Rfam family "Bacterial large subunit ribosomal RNA", at positions 1835 to 2457 of the family's 2925-position model. Lineage: Eukaryota; Metazoa; Chordata; Amphibia; Anura; Bufonidae. The record is from RNAcentral.
CUUGACUCUUAUAAGAGGUCCAGCCUGCCCAGUGACCAUGUUCAACGGCCGCGGUAUCCUAACCGUGCGAAGGUAGCGUAAUCACUUGUUCUUUAAAUGUGGACUAGUAUGAAUGGCACCACGAAGGUUAUACUGUCUCCUUUUUCUAAUCAGUGAAACUAAUCUCCCCGUGAAGAAGCGAGAAUAUACCUAUAAGACGAGAAGACCCUAUGGAGCUUUAAACAACACAGCAAUUACCUGCUAAACUAAGAAGUUUCUGAACAUUUUCAAUCUUUUAAGUAAUCUGACUGCAAGUUUUUGGUUGGGGUGACCACGGAGCAUAACACAACCUCCAUGUUGAAAGAAUUCUUUCUAAGCCAAGAACAACCUUUCUAAGCAUCAAUAUAUUGACAUCCAUUGACCCAAUACAUUUGACCAACGAAC